AAUCAACGCUGGCGGCGUGCCUAACACAUGCAAGUCGAACGCGAAAGCCCCGCAAGGGGUUAGUAGAGUGGCAAACGGGUGAGUAACACGUGGGUGACCUGCCCUCAGCUCUGGGAUAAGCCCGGGAAACUGGGUCUAAUACCGGAUAUGACUCCAUGACGCAUGUUGUGGGGUGGAAAGCCUUGUGCGGCUGAGGAUGGGCCCGCGGCCUAUCAGCUUGUUGGUGGGGUGANGGCCUACCAAGGCGACGACGGGUAGCCGGCCUGAGAGGGCGACCGGCCACACUGGGACUGAGACACGGCCCAGACUCCUACGGGAGGCAGCAGUGGGGAAUAUUGGACAAUGGGGGCAACCCUGAUCCAGCAAUGCCGCGUGUGUGAAGAAGGCCUGCGGGUUGUAAAGCAC
This 405-nucleotide ribosomal RNA is filed under the name uncultured bacterium. Its description in RNAcentral is "bacterial SSU rRNA". It matches the Rfam family "Bacterial small subunit ribosomal RNA", at positions 28 to 433 of the family's 1533-position model. The record is from RNAcentral.